GGAUUGUGGCUCAGCGGUAGAGCGCUCCCCUAGAACAGGCGGGGCCUGGGUUCGAUCCUCAGCACCA
This 67-nucleotide transfer RNA is filed under the name Marmota monax (woodchuck). RNAcentral describes it as "tRNA.Ser". The record is from RNAcentral. Lineage: Eukaryota; Metazoa; Chordata; Mammalia; Rodentia; Sciuridae.